This is a non-coding RNA of Caenorhabditis elegans, 143 nucleotides long. Lineage: Eukaryota; Metazoa; Nematoda; Chromadorea; Rhabditida; Rhabditidae. The record is from Ensembl.
UGUUAAAGCGAUAAAUCAAAAGAAAAUUGAGUGGUGGUUGAGGCACCAAAACGCGACGAAGUGAGAACUGAUAACCACUACCGCCUUUUUGUAAAGAGGCUUAUUCCGUGAACCAGUGAAGAGAAACGGAGAGGCAAAUUCCG